UACUCCUACGGGAGGCAGCAGUGGGGAAUUUUGGACAAUGGGCGAAAGCCUGAUCCAGCAAUGCCGCGUGUGUGAAGAAGGCCUUCGGGUUGUAAAGCACUUUUGUCCGGAAAGAAAACCUCGUGGUUAAUACCCGUGGGGGAUGACGGUACCGGAAGAAUAAGCACCGGCUAACUACGUGCCAGCAGCCGCGGUAAUACGUAGGGUGCAAGCGUUAAUCGGAAUUACUGGGCGUAAAGCGUGCGCAGGCGGUCCGCUAAGACAGAUGUGAAAUCCCCGGGCUUAACCUGGGAACUGCAUUUGUGACUGGCGGGCUAGAGUAUGGCAGAGGGGGGUAGAAUUCCACGUGUAGCAGUGAAAUGCGUAGAGAUGUGGAGGAAUACCGAUGGCGAAGGCAGCCCCCUGGGCCAAUACUG
Molecule: ribosomal RNA, 416 nt
Filed under: uncultured bacterium
Lineage: Bacteria
Description: bacterial SSU rRNA
Rfam family: Bacterial small subunit ribosomal RNA
Source: RNAcentral